RNAcentral lists this ribosomal RNA (253 nucleotides) under uncultured bacterium. RNAcentral describes it as "partial 16S ribosomal RNA". It matches the Rfam family "Bacterial small subunit ribosomal RNA", at positions 524 to 776 of the family's 1533-position model. The record is from RNAcentral.
UACGAAGGGUGCAAGCGUUACUCGGAAUUACUGGGCGUAAAGCGUGCGUAGGUGGCUUGUUAAGUCUGUUGUGAAAGCCCCGGGCUCAACCUGGGAAUGGCAAUGGAUACUGGCAAGCUAGAGUGCGGUAGAGGGUAGUGGAAUUCCCGGUGUAGCGGUGAAAUGCGUAGAGAUCGGGAGGAACACCAGUGGCGAAGGCGGCUACCUGGACCAGCACUGACACUGAGGCACGAAAGCGUGGGGAGCAAACAGG